GUCUAUGAGACCGGGCUGUCUCCCCAGGUUCUGUGGAGCUGUCUAUGAGACCGGGCUGUCUCCCCAGGUUCUGUGGAGCAGUCUAUGAGACCGGGCUGUCUCUCCAGGUUCUGUGGAGCAGUCUAUGAGACCGGGCUGUCUCUCCAGGUUCUGUGGAGCAGUCUAUGAGACCGGGCUGUCUCUCCAGGUUCUGUGGAGCAGUCUAUGAGACCGGGCUGUCUCUCCAGCUCGCCAGUGUGUUAAAGUGUCUGGAUGAGUGGAAAUAAAUCAUUAUCUCUACAGCCUCAGUUGAUACGUGAUCAAA
Molecule: long non-coding RNA, 304 nt
Organism: Oncorhynchus tshawytscha (Chinook salmon)
Lineage: Eukaryota; Metazoa; Chordata; Actinopteri; Salmoniformes; Salmonidae
Source: Ensembl